This 200-nucleotide unclassified non-coding RNA is filed under the name soil metagenome. Its description in RNAcentral is "partial contains internal transcribed spacer 2 and large subunit ribosomal RNA". The record is from RNAcentral.
CUGUUCGAGCGUCAUUUAACCACUCACGCCUGACGUGGUAUUGGGGCACGCGGUCUCGCGGCCCUCAAAAGCAGUGGCGGCGCCGGUGGGCUCUAAGCGUAGUACAUACUCCCGCUAUAGAGUUCCCCCGGUGGCUCGCCAGAACCCCCCCAUUUUUACCGGUUGACCUCGGAUCAGGUAGGGAUACCCGCUGAACUUAA